CGAACUCCAGAGAGGGCGGGAUAUGCGAAACCUCAAUUCACAGUCACUAAAGGGAGCGGUCGAGUCAGUAUAAACGCUAUUACAAUAGAGAGACUUGGCCUAGACUCAAAUCCCUUGGGAAGGAUAGAUGCAUUUGCUCUUUCGACACAUAUCUGCAUGUGAGUUUGUCCUGUCUUGUGUAUCUGUUUGGUUGCCCAUCUCUGCCCACGUGUCGGGAGUGUGGUUGCCUUCCAGUUUGCUGUACGCUUGUUCUGCGCUCACGAAUCAUCAACGGAGGAUUCCUCAUCUCUGCCCGUGUGUCGGGAAAGUGAUUGCCUUCCUGUCUGCUGUGCGCUGUCAUAUGCGCCUCACUAUGUUUCAAUGGAGGCUCCUGACUUCCACGAUGCACACACUCGCCUAUGAACACACUAUUCAUGGAUUUGGCCAUUGUGCGGCCACAGCGUGCGCAUCCACAAACUUCGCACUACUGCAGCAGGUGCCGGGAUCAUCGGUCUUCGCCAGCACAGUUGAAAUUCAUGAACAGAUGCAUUCGGACUCGACUCGGACUCGGCCUGUUAUGGACUCGGUCUUGAGUCCGACUCGGCCCCUUUUGGACUCGGACUCAACUCAGAUUCGAUUGUUUGAAGACUCGGACUUGACUCGGACUCGACUAAGGUGGACUCGAACCCAACACUAGUGUCCACACAAGUCGAACCACUGUGCUUCAUGCACUUCCUGUGCUGCUGAGAGAAGACGCCUCAAGAUUCUUCAAAACAUGCGGGGGCUGAAGAUUCAGAAGAGCCAAAUGUUGGAUAUUCACCAGAUGCCCUGUUAACAGCGGUCAGAGAACUCAUAGAUGCUGCAGUUCACUACAAUCUGGUCAAAAAUGUAAUUGUUCUUGAAAGUGAAGUCAUCACCCACCUGCCCAGGCUUUUCAGAUUUCUUUUUACAUUUGGACUGAUUUAUGCAUUGGAUCUGAAUUACCCCAAAUUGUUUUAAAGACAGGUGGCUUUAUAAGCUUUUAAUGUUGAAGAAUGUGCAACACUAAUGCAGCUGUAGACAGUUUAUCCUGUCGCUGUGAAAUGUGUGUUUUUUGUUUUUUCAGUGUUGUGCCUCAUGUUUUGUCAAUAAUUGUACCUUGUCUUUUUAUAGUAAAUAUGUUUACUACAUGCAGUUUGCUUAUUUUAUUUUAUUUUAUUUACGUUUAAGUUGCAGAAUUGUCCACAUUUAAGUUGACGAAACUUUAAAAAAAAUAAAAAAUAAAUAAAUACAAAUUAAGUAACACUACUAGCACAU
Molecule: long non-coding RNA, 1275 nt
Organism: Myxocyprinus asiaticus (Chinese sucker)
Lineage: Eukaryota; Metazoa; Chordata; Actinopteri; Cypriniformes; Catostomidae
Exons: 4
Source: RefSeq, a predicted model, not a curated record